AACGAGGCCGACCUGCGGCUGAGUUACCUGCGGAGGGAUCAUUACAAACAGUAGAUCUUCUACUGAACAGAGCGAGUCUGAAAGCGUUUCGGCGUGAGUAGGCUCUCUGUCUACACCCUUGUCUUUUGCGUACUCAUGUUUCCUCGGCGGGUCUGCCCGCCGGUUGGACAACUAUAAACCUUUUUAAUUUUCAAUCAGCGUCUGAAUACUUAUAAUUAUUUACAACUUUUAACAACGGAU
Molecule: unclassified non-coding RNA, 240 nt
Filed under: soil metagenome
Description: partial contains 5.8S ribosomal RNA, internal transcribed spacer 2, and large subunit ribosomal RNA
Source: RNAcentral